CCUGGGCUGCAGGAGGUUGCGGCGGCCGCGGCAGCAUGGUGGUGCCGGAGAAGGAGCAGAGCUGGAUCCCCAAGAUCUUCAAGAAGAAGACCUGCACGACGUUCAUAGUUGACUCCACAGAUCCGGGAGGGACCUUGUGCCAGUGUGGGCGCCCCCGGACCGCCCACCCCGCAGUGGCCAUGGAGGAUGCCUUCGGGGCAGCCGUGGUGACCGUGUGGGACAGCGAUGCACACACCACGGAGAAGCCCACCGAUGCCUACGGAGAGCUGGACUUCACGGGGGCCGGCCGCAAGCACAGCAAUUUCCUCCGGCUCUCUGACCGAACGGAUCCAGCUACAGUUUAUAGUCUGGUCACACGCACAUGGGGCUUCCGUGCCCCGAACCUGGUGGUGUCAGUGCUGGGGGGAUCGGGGGGCCCCGUCCUCCAGACCUGGCUGCAGGACCUGCUGCGUCGUGGGCUGGUGCGGGCUGCCCAGAGCACAGGAGCCUGGAUUGUCACUGGGGGUCUGCACACGGGCAUCGGCCGGCAUGUUGGUGUGGCUGUACGGGACCAUCAGAUGGCCAGCACUGGGGGCACCAAGGUGGUGGCCAUGGGUGUGGCCCCCUGGGGUGUGGUCCGGAAUAGAGACACCCUCAUCAACCCCAAGGGCUCGUUCCCUGCGAGGUACCGGUGGCGCGGUGACCCGGAGGACGGGGUCCAGUUUCCCCUGGACUACAACUACUCGGCCUUCUUCCUGGUGGACGACGGCACACACGGCUGCCUGGGGGGCGAGAACCGCUUCCGCUUGCGCCUGGAGUCCUACAUCUCACAGCAGAAGACGGGCGUGGGAGGGACUGGAAUUGACAUCCCUGUCCUGCUCCUCCUGAUUGAUGGUGAUGAGAAGAUGUUGACGCGCAUAGAGAACGCCACCCAGGCUCAGCUCCCGUGUCUCCUCGUGGCUGGCUCAGGGGGAGCUGCGGACUGCCUGGCGGAGACCCUGGAAGACACUCUGGCCCCAGGGAGUGGGGGAGCCAGGCAAGGCGAAGCCCGAGAUCGAAUCAGGCGUUUCUUUCCCAAAGGGGACCUUGAGGUCCUGCAGGCCCAGGUGGAGAGGAUUAUGACCCGGAAGGAGCUCCUGACAGUCUAUUCUUCUGAGGAUGGGUCUGAGGAAUUCGAGACCAUAGUUUUGAAGGCCCUUGUGAAGGUCCUUCCAUCUCGAAGCUUCCCUCAUGGACGCCCUGCUGAAUGACCGGCCUGAGUUCGUGCGCUUGCUCAUUUCCCACGGCCUCAGCCUGGGCCACUUCCUGACCCCGAUGCGCCUGGCCCAACUCUACAGCGCGGCGCCCCCCAACUCGCUCAUCCGCAACCUUUUGGACCAGGCGUCCCACAACGCAGGCACCAAAGCCCCAGCCCUAAAAGGGGGAGCUGCGGAGCUCCGGCCCCCUGACGUGGGGCAUGUGCUGAGGAUGCUGCUGGGGAAGAUGUGCGCACCGAGGUACCCCUCCGGGGGCGCCUGGGACCCUCACCCAGGCCAGGGCUUCGGGGAGAGCAUGUGUCUACUCUCGGACAAGGCCACCUCGCCGCUCUCGCUGGAUGCUGGCCUCGGGCAGGCCCCCUGGAGUGACCUGCUUCUUUGGGCACUGUUGCUGAACAGGGCACAGAUGGCCAUGUACUUCUGGGAGAUGGGUUCCAAUGCAGUUUCCUCAGCUCUUGGGGCCUGUUUGCUGCUCCGGGUGAUGGCACGCCUGGAGCCUGACGCUGAGGAGGCAGCUCGGAGGAAAGACCUGGCGUUCAAGUUUGAGGGGAUGGGCGUUGGUGCGUGGGGCAAGGUGCCUGGGAGCAGGGACGGGGGCUGCCGCCAGAGGGGGAUGUGCAACUCCGCACUCCUCACCCGCACUCCUCACAUAUCCCUGCGCCAUCCCCUUAAAUUCCCUUACCUCUCCCUUCACACCCUCACCCUACUCCUUCCCAUCCCUGUCACAUAACUAACUCCUCUGCCCCAGACCUCUUUGGCGAGUGCUAUCGCAGCAGUGAGGUGAGGGCUGCCCGCCUCCUCCUCCGUCGCUGCCCGCUCUGGGGGGAUGCCACUUGCCUCCAGCUGGCCAUGCAAGCUGACGCCCGUGCCUUCUUUGCCCAGGAUGGGGUACAGUCUCUGCUGACACAGAAGUGGUGGGGAGAUAUGGCCAGCACUACACCCAUCUGGGCCCUGGUUCUCUCCUUCUUUUGCCCUCCACUCAUCUACACCCGCCUCAUCACCUUCAGGAAAUCAGAAGAGGAGCCCACACGGAAGGAGCUAGAGUUUGACAUGGAUAGUGUCAUUAAUGGGGAAGGGCCUGUCGGGACGGCGGACCCAGCCGAGAAGACGCCGCUGGGGGUCCCGCGCCAGUCGGGCCGUCCGGGUUGCUGCGGGGGCCGCUGCGGGGGGCGCCGGUGCCUACGCCGCUGGUUCCACUUCUGGGGCGCGCCGGUGACCAUCUUCAUGGGCAACGUGGUCAGCUACCUGCUGUUCCUGCUGCUUUUCUCGCGGGUGCUGCUCGUGGAUUUCCGGCCGGCGCCGCCCGGCUCCCUGGAGCUGCUGCUCUAUUUCUGGGCUUUCACGCUGCUGUGCGAGGAGCUGCGCCAGGGCCUGAGCGGAGGCGGGGGCAGCCUCGCCAGCGGGGGCCCCGGGCCUGGCCAUGCCUCACUGAGCCAGCGCCUGCGCCUCUACCUCGCCGACAGCUGGAACCAGUGCGACCUAGUGGCUCUCACCUGCUUCCUCCUGGGCGUGGGCUGCCGGCUGACCCCGGGUUUGUACCACCUGGGCCGCACUGUCCUCUGCAUCGACUUCAUGGUUUUCACGGUGCGGCUGCUUCACAUCUUCACGGUCAACAAACAGCUGGGGCCCAAGAUCGUCAUCGUGAGCAAGAUGAUGAAGGACGUGUUCUUCUUCCUCUUCUUCCUCGGCGUGUGGCUGGUGGCCUAUGGCGUGGCCACGGAGGGGCUCCUGAGGCCACGGGACAGUGACUUCCCAAGUGUCCUGCGCCGCGUCUUCUACCGUCCCUACCUGCAGAUCUUCGGGCAGAUCCCCCAGGAGGACAUGGACGUGGCCCUCAUGGAGCACAGCAACUGCUCGUCGGAGCCCGGCUUCUGGGCACACCCUCCUGGGGCCCAGGCGGGCACCUGCGUCUCCCAGUAUGCCAACUGGCUGGUGGUGCUGCUCCUCGUCAUCUUCCUGCUCGUGGCCAACAUCCUGCUGGUCAACUUGCUCAUUGCCAUGUUCAGUUACACAUUCGGCAAAGUACAGGGCAACAGCGAUCUCUACUGGAAGGCGCAGCGUUACCGCCUCAUCCGGGAAUUCCACUCUCGGCCCGCGCUGGCCCCGCCCUUUAUCGUCAUCUCCCACUUGCGCCUCUUGCUCAGGCAAUUGUGCAGGCGACCCCGGAGCCCCCAGCCGUCCUCCCCGGCCCUCGAGCAUUUCCGGGUUUACCUUUCUAAGGAAGCCGAGCGGAAGCUGCUAACGUGGGAAUCGGUGCAUAAGGAGAACUUUCUGCUGGCACGCGCUAGGGACAAGCGGGAGAGCGACUCCGAGCGUCUGAAGCGCACGUCCCAGAAGGUGGACUUGGCACUGAAACAGCUGGGACACAUCCGCGAGUACGAACAGCGCCUGAAAGUGCUGGAGCGGGAGGUCCAGCAGUGUAGCCGCGUCCUGGGGUGGGUGGCCGAGGCCCUGAGCCGCUCUGCCUUGCUGCCCCCAGGUGGGCCGCCACCCCCUGACCUGCCUGGGUCCAAAGACUGAGCCCUGCUGGCGGACUUCAAGGAGAAGCCCCCACAGGGGAUUUUGCUCCUAGAGUAAGGCUCAUCUGGGCCUCGGCCCCCGCACCUGGUGGCCUUGUCCUUGAGGUGAGCCCCAUGUCCAUCUGGGCCACUGUCAGGACCACCUUUGGGAGUGUCAUCCUUACAAACCACAGCAUGCCCGGCUCCUCCCAGAACCAGCCCCAGCCUGGGAGGAUCAAGGCCUGGAGCCUGGGCCGUUAUCCAUCUGGAGGC
This 4006-nucleotide small RNA is filed under the name Pan troglodytes (chimpanzee). Its description in RNAcentral is "retained intron". Lineage: Eukaryota; Metazoa; Chordata; Mammalia; Primates; Hominidae. The record is from RNAcentral.